CUCCCAUUCUUCAUUCUACUCACCACUUAGUUACUAGAAUGUUUUUCUCAACUAUGAAUCUGACUUCACUCCCUUUCUUGAAAACCUCCUGUAGUUCCUGUUGUGUACGGGAUAAAGACUGUGAGCUCCUGGAGUUCAGGGACCAUUUCUUAAUCAUCUUCCAGAACCUAUCACAAUGAAUGACACAAAGAAUAUAUUUGAUAAAAAUCUGAUGAAUGAACCACUCUAAAUGCAACUCUAAUAAAGAAAAUUACUGCCUA
Molecule: long non-coding RNA, 260 nt
Organism: Gorilla gorilla gorilla (western lowland gorilla)
Lineage: Eukaryota; Metazoa; Chordata; Mammalia; Primates; Hominidae
Exons: 2
Source: RefSeq, a predicted model, not a curated record